Long non-coding RNA from Mastomys coucha (southern multimammate mouse), 431 nucleotides. RefSeq lists it as uncharacterized. NCBI's taxonomy places the organism in Eukaryota, Metazoa, Chordata, Mammalia, Rodentia, Muridae. The transcript is spliced from 4 exons. The record is from RefSeq and is a predicted model, not a curated record.
AUUGAGCUCCUGUGGCUCACUGUGGAAGGACCAUGCCUUGCCUUCCUCCUGAAAGCAGAUCUAUAGGAAAAUCCAUUCGCAAUCAGGAAGUUUCUGGGCAAAUACUCUGGCCUCUGAGCUACAUCUUCCACUGUAAGGCUGCCCUCACACAGAGGGCAUGAAUCUCCAUGCAAGCAACCGCAGUGUGCCACCGUGGCCAGUAGAGGGCAUGAGGAGACCACGAGCCGGGCCUUUUACUGUGAGAAAAUCGUGAGAAGGAGGAAAAGGGGAAAUCAUUUGGGCCAAUUAUCUCUGGCCGCUGUGGAAAAUCGGAGACUAUAGCGGCCACAGCCAGAAACAAUAUUUUUCUCCUGGGGCAGAUUCUCUGCUAGAGUCAGUCAUCAACUCCUGCAAACAUGGCCUGAGUAACCAAGCGCUUUAUAGUCAGCCAA